CAGCAGUAGCCACGGGAAUACAGAGGGUGCGAGCGUUAAUCGGAUUUACUGGGCGUAAAGCGUGCGUAGGCGGCUUCUUAAGUCGGAUGUGAAAUCCCUGAGCUUAACUUAGGAAUUGCAUUUGAUACUGGGAAGCUAGAGUAUGGGAGAGGAUGGUAGAAUUCCAGGUGUAGCGGUGAAAUGCGUAGAGAUCUGGAGGAAUACCGAUGGCGAAGGCAGCCAUCUGGCCUAAUACUGACGCUGAGGUACGAAAGCAUGGGGAGCAAACAGGAUUAGAUACCCGCGUAGUCCCUGUCUCUUAUAC
RNAcentral lists this ribosomal RNA (304 nucleotides) under uncultured bacterium. RNAcentral describes it as "partial 16S ribosomal RNA". It matches the Rfam family "Bacterial small subunit ribosomal RNA", at positions 506 to 807 of the family's 1533-position model. The record is from RNAcentral.